GGAGUCUAGCAUGUGCGCGAGUCAUUGGGACUAACUAAACCUAAAGGCGCAAUAAAAGUGAAAGUCCGUCUCGUACGGACCGAGGGAGGAUGGGCAGGGUCAAACCUGCCUCGCACUCCCGGGGCGUCUCGUUCUCAGCUUGCGAGAGGAGGCGCACCCAGAGCGUACACGCUGGGACCCGAAAGAUGGUGAACUAUGCCUGGUCAGGACGAAGUCAGGGGAAACCCUGAUGGAGGUCCGUAGCGAUUCUGACGUGCAAAUCGAUCGUCGGAACUGGGUAUAGGGGCGAAAGACUAAUCGAACCAUCUAGUAGCUGGUUCCCUCCGAAGUUUCCCUCAGGAUAGCUGGCGCUCGCAUAUGCGAGUCUCAUCUGGUAAAGCGAAUGAUUAGAGGCAUUGGGGUCGAAACGGCCUCAACCUAUUCUCAAACUUUAAAUGGGUGAGAACUCGGGCUUGCUUAAACACACAAACCAAAUGAAGCCACGAGUUCUAAAUAAAUGUUUAUAGCGUAUAUUUAUAAGGAUCAGAGUGCCAAGUGGGCCACUUUUGGUAAGCAGAACUGGCGCUGUGGGAUGAACCAAACGUGAAGUUAAAGCGCCUAAAUCGACGCUUAUGGGAUACCAUGAAAGGCGUUGGUAACUUAAGACAGCAGGACGGUGGCCAUGGAA
This 667-nucleotide ribosomal RNA is filed under the name Trachys saundersi. RNAcentral describes it as "eukaryotic LSU rRNA". It matches the Rfam family "Eukaryotic large subunit ribosomal RNA", at positions 670 to 1259 of the family's 3401-position model. Lineage: Eukaryota; Metazoa; Arthropoda; Insecta; Coleoptera; Buprestidae. The record is from RNAcentral.